This 494-nucleotide ribosomal RNA is filed under the name uncultured bacterium. RNAcentral describes it as "partial 16S ribosomal RNA". It matches the Rfam family "Bacterial small subunit ribosomal RNA", at positions 28 to 507 of the family's 1533-position model. The record is from RNAcentral.
GACGAACGCUGGCGGCGCGCUUAACACAUGCAAGUCGAACGGAAAGGCCUGCUUUUCCUUGUGGAUUGCGGGUACUCGAGUGGCGAACGGGUUAGUAACACGUGAGUGAUCUGCCCUCAACUUGGGUAUAAGCCUGGGAAACUGGGUCUAAUUCCCGAUCGGACUGCAGGGUGGUGCCUGUGGUGGAACAUGAUUUUCUAGUGGUUGGGGAUGAGCUGGCGGCUUAUCAGCUUGUGGGUGGGGUAAUGGCCCACCACGGCAGCGACGGGUGGCGGGCGUGGGAGGGUGGACAGCGACAUUGGGACUGGGAUACGGCCCAUACGCCUGCGGGAAGCAGCGAUGGUGGAUAAAGGACCAUGAGCGGAAGCCAGAUGCGGCGACGGCGCGUAGGAGAUGACGGCCUUCGAGUGGUAAACUCCUGGCGACCACGAGAAAACCACCUAGUUGGAAGGGUGGUGACGGUAGUGGUAGAAGAAGCACCGGCUAACUACGUG